RNAcentral lists this long non-coding RNA (1017 nucleotides) under Cottoperca gobio. Its description in RNAcentral is "lncRNA (ENSCGOG00000012072.1)". Lineage: Eukaryota; Metazoa; Chordata; Actinopteri; Perciformes; Bovichtidae. The record is from RNAcentral.
AUGUUCUGCAACACGUUACACGUUCGGCAACACGUUACACAUUCUGCAACUUCUGCAACACGUUACAUGUUCUGCAACACGUUACAACUUCUGCAACACGUUACACGUUCGGCAACACGUUACACAUUCUGCAACUUCUGCAACAUGUUACAACUUCUGCAACUUCUGCAACACGUUACACGUUCGGCAACACGUUACACAUUCUGCAACUUCUGCAACAUGUUACAUGUUCUGCAACAUGUUACACGUUCUGCAACAUGUUACACGUUCUGCAACAUGUUAACACGUUCUGCAACUUCUGCAACAUGUUACAUGUUCUGCAACAUGUUCUGCAACAUGUUACACGUUCUGCAACUUCUGCAACAUGUUACAACUUCUGCAACAUGUUACACGUUCUGCAACAUGUUACAUGUUCUGCAACAUGUUACACGUUCUGCAACUUCUGCAACAUGUUACAACUUCUGCAACAUGUUACAUGUUCUGCAACACGUUACAUGUUCUGCAACACGUUACAUGUUCUGCAACACGUUACAUGUUCUGCAACACGUUACACGUUCUGCAACACGUUACACGUUCUGCAACACGUUACACGUUCUGCAACACGUUACAUGUUCUGCAACAUGUUACAACUUCUGCUACAUGUUCUGCAACACGUUACACGUUCUGCAACUUCUGCAACAUGUUACAACUUCUGCAACAUGUUACACGUUCUGCAACAUGUUACAUGUUCUGCAACAUGUUACACGUUCUGCAACAUGUUACAUGUUCUGCAACAUGUUACACGUUCUGCAACAUGUUACACGUUUGCAACUUCUGCAACAUGUUACAACUUCUGCAACAUGUUACAUGUUCUGCAACACGUUACACGUUCUGCAACAUGUUCUGCAACAUGUUACAUGUUCUGCAACAUGUUCUGCAACAGCAACAAUGGCACAUGAGGCUGCUGCAGGAAGGGGAAUCCAACAACUCUACAUCUGUUUCCUCCUCGAGUGUCUUUCUAAAGUAUUAAAGAGAUAA